AGGGAAUCUUCCGCAAUGGACGAAAGUCUGACGGAGCAACGCCGCGUGAGUGAUGAAGGUUUUCGGAUCGUAAAACUCUGUUAUUAGGGAAGAACAAAUGUGUAAGUAACUGUGCACAUCUUGAUGGUACCUAAUCAGAAAGCCACGGCUAACUACGUGCCAGCAGCCGCGGUAAUACGUAGGUGGCAAGCGUUAUCCGGAAUUAUUGGGCGUAAAGCGCGCGUAGGCGGUUUCUUAAGUCUGAUGUGAAAGCCCACGGCUCAACCGUGGAGGGUCAUUGGAAACUGGGAAACUUGAGUACAGAAGAGGAAAGUGGAAUUCCAUGUGUAGCGGUGAAAUGCGCAGAGAUAUGGAGGAACACCAGUGGCGAAGGCGACUUUCUGGUCUGUAACUGACGCUGAUGUGCGAAAGCGUGGGGAUCAAACAGGAUUAGAUACCCUGGUAGUCCACGCCGUAAACGAUGAGUGCUAAGUGUUAGGGGGUUUCCGCCCCUUAGUGCUGCAGCUAACGCAUUAAGCACUCCGCCUGGGGAGUACGACCGCAAGGUUG
RNAcentral lists this ribosomal RNA (549 nucleotides) under uncultured bacterium. RNAcentral's name for it is "bacterial SSU rRNA". It matches the Rfam family "Bacterial small subunit ribosomal RNA", at positions 356 to 896 of the family's 1533-position model. The record is from RNAcentral.